RNAcentral lists this ribosomal RNA (346 nucleotides) under uncultured bacterium. RNAcentral's name for it is "partial 16S ribosomal RNA". It matches the Rfam family "Bacterial small subunit ribosomal RNA", at positions 338 to 676 of the family's 1533-position model. The record is from RNAcentral.
CCUACGGGAGGCAGCAGUGGGGAAUAUUGCGCAAUGGGCGAAAGCCUGACGCAGCGACGCCGCGUGAGGGAGGAAGGUCUUCGGAUCGUAAACCUCUGUCAGCAGGGAAGAAGGGUGACGGGGCUAAACAGCAGUGAAUUGACAGUACCUGCAAAGGAAGCACCGGCUAACUCCGUGCCAGCAGCCGCGGUAAUCCGGAGGGGGCGAGCGUUAAUCGGAAUGACUGGGCGUAAAGCGCUCGUAGGCGGUAUGUCAAGUCAAGGGUGAAAGCCCCGCGCUCAACGUGGGAACUGCCUUUGAACCUGGCAACCUGGAGUGUGUGAGAGGCUAUUGGACUUCCUGUUUU